Molecule: ribosomal RNA, 405 nt
Filed under: Triticum aestivum (bread wheat)
Lineage: Eukaryota; Viridiplantae; Streptophyta; Magnoliopsida; Poales; Poaceae
Description: partial small subunit ribosomal RNA
Source: RNAcentral
AUGGGGAUCGUGGAUGCGUUGAUUACAUCGGCCGGAGCAAUAGGCAAAGAACUAGGCCAAGCAACAACGGCAAACACGGAAUUCAUCAGCGACAAGAACUGCGUCGAGCACCACGUGGCCAACGGCGGGUGCAUCGACGAGUUCAUCACGGCGGUGGACGAGUGCCACCCCAGGCAGAUCAAGACUCGGGAGGACCCUGACGAGCGCGUCCUCGAUGCCGAUGCGUGUGUCAAGGCGACGGCGGCGCUGCGUGAGUGCUUCGAGGGCAACCGCAUGUGGUUCGCGCAGCAGUACAUACGCCGCUUGGACGAGGGCCUCGAUGAGGACCGGAAGCCAUCGCCGGAGAAGGUGGAGGAGGAAGAGCUGACAAGGUUCAGGUGGUGGACUGGCAUGAGGAGAAGCUAG